Molecule: long non-coding RNA, 886 nt
Organism: Gopherus flavomarginatus (Mexican gopher tortoise)
Lineage: Eukaryota; Metazoa; Chordata; Testudines; Testudinidae
Exons: 2
Source: RefSeq, a predicted model, not a curated record
AUACAUUUGCAGCAUUGUCUGUGACCAAGCUGCGUACUGGACAUUUGAAUUCUUUUUCACAGUUUGUUAUAGCUUUUACUGCUCCUUCUUGUAAGUACUCUGCUGUGUGUGCAAUUCCUGAUGUAUCAAUUGUUUCUGUAAGGACAGUCCCUUCUGUUGUCACACAAACACAUACAACAGGAUCAUCGGGGACAUUGCUCCACUCAUCAAGACUCAGGUUAACAAUUUCACCCUUUAGACCUUUUGCACACUGCUCAAUUUCUCCUUCAUACACUUUGUCUAGCAAUUUGCCUGCAACAUCUGCUCUGUUGGGUGGACUGUAUCCUGGUUUUAAUGACUGACCCGUGUUAAGGAAGUGUCCAUUCUCAGUCAUACGGAAAGGAGAGUUUGGUGCAUAAACAAACUGGGCAAUUUUUUCAUCAAUUACUUCUUUUUGUAAUCUGCUGGUUCUUACCACAAACCUAUGUAUAGUUGUUUCUGGAUGAUGGAGAUUUUAUUUUUUCUUUUUGCUGCAGGUGAUAUACUGUGUCUAUGUGACAUACAUGAUGUGACUGAAACUCUGAAACAAUAGAAAAUAAUAGUGAUGUUGAAGGUGGAUAGUCUUCAGAAUCCUGUAUGUUGAGGGUGGAUUCUGCGAAACAAAAUAAGUCAGUGCAGUUAUUUAAUUAUUACCACACUGCUCGUGUAGUAUUCCUGAUUGCAUUCACUGCCACUCAGUGCUACUGUAAAGGUGAAAUUGUAAAAGGAAGAUCCUGCCUAUUUCAGCUCUUUAUUUUUUAUCACAACUAUAUUUUUUGCUCAAACAUGCGAAUUCAAGAAGAGUUCAGAAGGAAGACGAGCAGUCCUUAAGAAAGAAGUAUGAAAUAAAAAAGUUUACCAACCUGAA